This is a long non-coding RNA of Xenopus laevis (African clawed frog), 1843 nucleotides long. RefSeq lists it as uncharacterized. The transcript is spliced from 3 exons. Lineage: Eukaryota; Metazoa; Chordata; Amphibia; Anura; Pipidae. The record is from RefSeq and is a predicted model, not a curated record.
GCCCGCUCCGGUUUGGAGAUGGGUAGGGUAGAGUGCAAUUUGCUAAAUAUAGCCCAAGUGGCAGUAAUGGGUAGCGUUUUACCAGACAGGUUUUCCCAAUAGCUGGCGACCUCCUUCCAGAACUGCUGUAUAAGUGGGCAUGACCAUAAGCAAUGUAUCAAGUCAGCUGUGGGUGUUUCACAUCUUAGGCAGUGAUCCGAGUGUGCCGUACCUAUGUGAAAUCUCUUUAAAGGUGUCAGAUAAGUAUGGUGUAGCAGUUGUAUGGACAUUUCCUGGUAUAUGCUAGCAGGCAAAAUUUUCAUCAUGCGAGUGUGAUAUCGAAGGAUGUCCACAUUAUCAGCUUGUGGAAUGAUUGAUUUCCAUUUCGUGAAAGCCGUAGUGGCAUUAUCUGCAUCAAGAGUGGUCCUAAUCUGUUUGUAAAUGUGUGCAGUAGAUUUAAUAGUAUCGUGUUUUGGCCAUAGUGAAUCAAGUAGGUUAUUUUUGUCCUUAUCCGUUAGUUUGGUCAGUCGUUGUGCAACAAAAUGUAAGAGCUGAAGCAGUGAGAAUUGAUGGAGUUGCAAAAAUGGGUAGUUUUGAAGCAAGGUUGAGGUGGGUUGCAACGCGAAGGUAGGGGUGACUAUGUCUUUAAUAUUUUGUAAGCCAUGUGUCUGCCAAGCUUUAAAAAUCAGACUAUUCAAGUAUAAUAGUAUUUUCACAUUACCUUUUUGUAUAGAGUCAGUGUCAAGAAUGUGACGUAUAACUUUACACUUCUAAUGACCAUGAAUGAAGCCCAUGGGAACAAUUUUCUGCGGGAGAGACAAAGCACACAGUGCAUAAUAGCUACUAUAUCAAGGUGAAGGUAUCUUUCCUCUUUUUUAUUUUAAGGCGUUUGAAGAAUAACAAAGCAUCUACAGAUGGUCACCGCUAUAUUUUCCGAGGUCGAAUCAACACAGAAGUGAUGGAGGUGGAGAAUGUUGAUGAUGGAACAGCUGAUUUUCACAGCAGUGGAAACAUGGUUGUCAAUGGUUGGAAGAUACAUAAUACAGCCAAGAACAAAUGGUUUGUCUGCAUGGCGAAGACCCCAGAGGCCGCCGUUCCCCUUGUGGUGUGUUUGUGUGCAUGGAGGAGACGUGAUGCAUCUUCACCCUUUUAAUUAAAUAAACAUACAUGGGGGCAGUACACAUGCCCGGGUAGCCUCCUCCUGCCGCUGCCACCCUGUAGUCAGCCCCGGGCACACUCAGAUGGGAAGACUCUGGGAAGCGACGUUUGGCUCACCCGUCAUGCCUGCCCAAAGCCUGUGAGCUGAGCCUCAGCCUCUUUCACAUGCCGUCAGUAGCCAGGGAGGAGAAAUCGAGCACUGAAGGAUGGAUGGUCGCCGUGUCGCCUGUUUUGAAGAGGACAGGAAGUGGAGUUUUGAUCUCAUGAAUUGCAUUCCAAGGUACCCCCCCCAAGCAAACACCUCACAAAGCGAAAUGGUCGAGAGUCACAACUAACUAUAUAGUAUACGAAAUUAAACUGUACUGCCCUUCAAAGAUAGCUUGAAUGCAAAGACGGCACCACUCUGGUUAUGUUUGUAAAGUUUUUGCUUUAUUGCAAAAAUGUUAGAGAACUUACUAUGUUUGUAAUAAUACAGUUGCGCAAUAAAAUUAUUAAAAAAAAAGAAAAGCUAUUCUGCGCACUCAGGUCACAUAAGUCUGGUUAAAUACCGUCUCAAUAAGUGGCCAUGAUAAAUGGGGUUGCUUAACAUUUGAUACCAUUUACUUCUCUUUUAAGAACCUUACAGUAAAUGCCUAAUAUCUAGUUCACUUUUCCAGACCAAUAAGCAGUGCCAAAUCUUAUAUUGGCUCCUCAAUACUUACUUUGG